Long non-coding RNA from Lycium barbarum (goji berry), 2415 nucleotides. RefSeq lists it as uncharacterized. NCBI's taxonomy places the organism in Eukaryota, Viridiplantae, Streptophyta, Magnoliopsida, Solanales, Solanaceae. The transcript has 7 exons. The record is from RefSeq and is a predicted model, not a curated record.
AAUAAAAAAAUCUCAAAGCAUACAUCUUCUUUCUUCCCUAAUUUUAUACUACCACUCAACCGAAUUCUAGAAGCAUCUGAAUCUCUUCAUCUUCUCAGGCGGGUCUUCCAAUUUCAGGUAAAGCUUCUCUCAAUUUUGGUACCAAAUAAAAACUGAAGCGUGUGCUUCAUAUACAUAUCCAGUUGCAAGACAAUCCAAACAAACAAAGCUACGGGCUGGCUCCCCUCAAGAAAAUGCUUUGCAUUUCCAACCGAAUCUGCAAUAGGAACUCCGGCCUGUAUUGCAGCAGGAGUCUUAUCAAGAAAAAGUACGACCAAAAGUAUAUCAUUGGAUUGUACUGGCACGCGGGAAGGAGAAGGCGAAGGCGCAGCAAAAAAAUCAGCUUUUCUAUCGUGGCUUCACCUGCACAGUUAGCAUUUGAGUUUCAUGAUAUUUGUUGGAGUAGAGGAGUGAGAUGAGCAACAACAUUCUGUUAGAUUUCAGCCCACACUUAGUGUAUGGCAUGAAGGAAAAUAAGUUCUGCCAGAACACUUGGAUACUUUGUUUAUGACCACAGAUUACCGGUAGAGAACAAGAGAUGGCGGCUCUGAAAAAUUUGAGCAAGAUAGAAGGUGGAAGCAGUUGAAAGAUGCAAAUAGCUAACCUUUGCUCUCUUUGGGUGGAUUUCAUCGGUGAUUUUUCGACCUUUUGAAAGUGGAAUAUGCUCUAGAUUAAGGACAAUAUUGAGACUGUAAGAUACAGAAGAUAUGAAAGCUCCAAGCACAUAAAACAAGGCCUUUGCGGUGCACUUUCGGUCAGUUAAUGAAGUAGAUUUCUUGAAUGAUAAAAUUUCCCGGUAUUGCUAGAAAGGGUGUGAUUCCUAUAUACUACUCUCUGCUAUGUGUCACUAAAUUCAUAAUUUUCCUUAAGAUCUACAAGUGAUAUAUGUUUCUUGUCAAAGUAAAUUAUUCAGUAUUACAAAUUUGAGCAGUCUUUCUUUGCUGCUUUAAUUUUUUUAGUGUUGAUUUGUUCAUUGGUGUCUGCAUGCGAAUUCUACUUCUCCUUUUUCCUCUUUUCCAGUUCACCCUUUACCGUAACAUUCCUUUAUUCUUUUCAUUUAUCUUAAGUUGUGAGGCCAGGGGGAUUGUUUUAUUUAUGAGAUAUUGAGUUGACCCAAAAUAUCGAACUUCCCCCCUUGGAUUAGUGUUCAACACAUAUCUACUUAUUCAUGUAUAAACACACACCCCUCCUACAUAAAUAAGAAUUGAAUAAGAACUGAUGGCACGUAAUAAAAGAUUACCCCCGCUUUUAGAACUCUUGCACAACAUGAAAUUUUUUCCACUAGCCGCAGGAGCAUUAAAAUUAAAAAAUAAAAAUAAAAAAUAAUCUCCCUGACACUCCACUAAGGACAAUAACAUGAACAUAUCUAGAGAUAUCGGUUUGCAGCAUCUCUAACCUAGAGAUUUACUUAGUUUGUCAUUGAUAAGCUUUGCAAGAACAAGUAAAAGGUAGACUAGUCAUUGACAAUAUGCUUCCUUUAUCUUAUCAUUUAAUGUUUAUAAAUAUAACUCAGCAAUAUUUGCUUUUUAAUGGUUCAUUUAUCUGCAUUGCACAAUCCAGACCUUUCGGUUUAUCUCUUCUUAUAGCUCUGUCCAUGAUGAGGAGGUGAAGGCGGUAAGUCUUCCUUACAUAUUCAGAUGAAAAAUCUCUAUGUUACAGAUUUUUUCCUUUAGCCAGUUCACUUAAUCUUCUAAGUUGUUUUCUAAUUUAACAGAAGAUGAGCAUAAUGUUGUUUGGUUCUGGCUAGAGAAGGGCAAGCCACAUGAAUGCCCAGUAUGCACACAGUAUUUUGUGGUAAGUACGGAAUCUCUGUAUCUUUCGGCCAUAUUAUCAAGUUCCAGGGUGUAAGGGAAUUAGUAGAGAUAUGAAUUCAUAGUCCUUGCUAUUCUGUAUGUGAAAGGCAGUGGCACUCCUUAAUCAGGGAAAAUUUUAGAUUCCGUGCAGCAAUAGGGUGACAUUUUCCCUCUUCUUUUUUUUUUUUUUUAUUGAGAGCAAAGGGAGUAAUGAAUAAGUGAGUUUUAUAGUUCAAAAGAAUUAAGUUAAAAUCCCAAUUUUUCUCUUAAGUUCUUAGCUGAUUUUAAUUUCUAUUCUUUGUGCCAGUAAGCAAAGUAAGAAUCAUUAAACUUUCUUUAGGAUUAUGUUGGAUGAAAGAGUUUCAUCUUCCAAGAGCAUACUUAUGUUCAACUGUCAGAAUUCAGAUUCCAACCCAAUCUCAUACUGAUGUUGGAGCACUUACAAUCUUUCUACUUUUUUGUACCAAGCUACCUAUGUAACUUUGUUCCACAAACUAUGUCUCUCUUUUGCCUUUCUUGCAAACUACUCCUGUAACUUUGUUCCACAAAUGAAUGUAAUAUACUAUGAAGCAUGUCAUGUUAA